UUUUGCUCAAUGGGGGAAACCCUGAAGCAGCAACGCCGCGUGAGGGAUGAAGGCCUUCGGGUUGUAAACCUCUUUUGUCAGGGACGAUGAUGACGGUACCUGGCGAAUAAGCCACGGCUAACUACGUGCCAGCAGCCGCGGUAAUACGUAGGUGGCAAGCGUUGUCCGGAUUUACUGGGCGUAAAGAGCGCGCAGGCGGUCAUGUAAGUCGAAUGUGAAAGCCCCUGGCUCAACCAGGGAGGGUCAUUCGAUACUGCUUGACUCGAAGGCAGGAGAGGGAAGUGGAAUUCCGGGUGUAGUGGUGAAAUGCGUAGAUAUCCGGAGGAACACCAGUGGCGAAGGCGACUUUCUGGCCUGUUCUUGACGCUGAGGCGCGAAAGCUAGGGGAGCAAACGG
RNAcentral lists this ribosomal RNA (396 nucleotides) under uncultured bacterium. RNAcentral's name for it is "bacterial SSU rRNA". It matches the Rfam family "Bacterial small subunit ribosomal RNA", at positions 362 to 775 of the family's 1533-position model. The record is from RNAcentral.